Mus musculus (house mouse) is the source of this 1840-nucleotide long non-coding RNA. RefSeq annotates it as predicted gene, 39375. The record is from RefSeq and is a predicted model, not a curated record. The transcript is spliced from 4 exons. Lineage: Eukaryota; Metazoa; Chordata; Mammalia; Rodentia; Muridae.
UCCACAGUACGCCCUUUUGUGGUAUAUACUUCUUUGCUUGCAAAAGUUCAUUGCAAUGAGUCGUUGGUCUGGUACGAGGCCUCUGGCUUCUGCUACUCUAUCAGUACUAUAACCAAACUGGGACUCUUCAUGGAUGUCCUGAUGUUGCCUUGUGUCAUGGAGAUCCCGUGGUUUUGGAUCUAUAAGAGUGGCUCCUUCAUGCACUCCAGCAGUUCAUCCACGGGGUAGAUGUUGGGGUGUACCAGUUUAAAGCCCUGAUCUCUGCCUGAGAGGUAUCUGAGCUGGUCACCCCACCCGAUCCCCUGCUAUCACACCCUCAGGGAUGGCUCACUAGCAAUGCCCCCAGACCAGAUCCAGCUCUAUCCUGCUGCCCAGAUGAGGUACAGGGCCUGAUCCCCCAAAUGCUGCAGCAGGUGAGGGGCAAGAGCAGCUCUCCCACUCUCAUGACCCCAGCACCAGGUCUCCUGACUGCCAUAGGCAGUGGGAGUGAACAGGGAAGAGGGUAUCUCUCCCUCACCCAUGCCACUACAAGGAAACUGGUGGUAGGACCAGCUCUCACACUUUCGUAUCAUCCUCAGCUGCAACUCCUACAAUGUGCAGGCUACUCUCCUGAGUGCUGCAGCUGGCUAGCAUGGGGGUCAGCUCUUUUGCUCUCAUACCCCCAGGACCAGUUCUCCCAUGAUGCCCAGGUAUCAAAAGUCAAUCUCAGCUAUCAACUGAAGCUGAGUAUGGUAGCCUAUGCCUAUAAAUCCCACGGUCAGAAGGCUGAGGCAGGAGGAUUGUCAAAAGCUCGAGACCAGACUGGACUGCUGUGCAAAGCCAAAAACAAAAAAAAACAAAAAUGAAAAGAUGCUGAUUUGGUGGAGCUCUGUCCGACAGCAGCUUUCCCUUCAAAUAUCUGUUAGACCUUUGGAAAUGUGGCAAAAUCUGGACCUGCAGCCAUGCCUUCUGUGAAUGGCUUUCUCUCUGGCUCAAAGGCCACUUAGCUGUCCUUGUGGCCUUUCCCUGCUGAGUUCCUGAGGGUCUGAGAGAGCAUGCUGUGACAGCAUCCCCUGAAUUGUAGAAGCAGCAUAAAGAACUCUUCUCAUAUGACCUAACCCCACUGCAGCAGCACAUGGACCAUGGACUUCUGUGUGGAAUCGGGUGACAGCACGAAUCGUGAACAUCCACAUGGCCUCUAGUGUCAACACAGACCAAGGACCUCAGCAUGCUCUUCGGUGAUAGCACAGAACAAGGACAUCAACAUCUCCUUGGCCACAGCCCGGACCACAAACACCAUCAUGAUGUGGGCACAGGCCAUGGACACCAACAUGGCCCCUGGCGGUUGAACAGACCAAGGGCAUCCACUUGACUUUUGAUGAUAACAUGGACUACAGACAUCAAGAUGGCCUCCUACAGGAACACAGACCACGGGCAUCCACAUAGUUCUCUGAACUUGAUCAUGGCCUUUGGUGGCAGCACAGGUCAUGGGCAUCAAUGUGGGCUCUCAUGGAAGGUAGCAUGUAGGGGUGGUCUAAGGUGCUAGAUUUAGACUUAUCUUUUCAAAGCAUAGGCAACUUCUCUCUCCAAAGUGCCCUAAAUAUUUAAUCUUUUGGGUAGGUUGACAGUGGCAGCUCCUGCAGGCCAGGCCUUCUCUCUGACAGGCCCAGAGAAAGGACACUUCAGCUUCAACAGCUAGAUUCCCUCAAUGGUGUCUCAGUCUCCUCCCCAAACGUAGCUCUUGUGCAGGCUUGAAAAACAAGCUUAAAAUACUUCUGUGUCUUAAUGUUUCCUUCUCUGGGAGCUCAUAGCUCCUCUGCUGUUCCAGCCACAGGAAAGAAACCUUAUUUAAAGUGUUCUA